GAUGAACGCUGGCGGCGUGCUUAACACAUGCAAGUCGAACGGAAAGGCCACAGCUUGCUGUGGUACUCGAGUGGCGAACGGGUGAGUAACACGUGGGUGAUCUGCCCUGUACUUCGGGAUAAGCUUGGGAAACUGGGUCUAAUACCGGAUAGGAAUCACAUGUGGGUGUGUGGUUGGAAAGCUUUUGCGGUAUGGGAUGAGCUCGCGGCCUAUCAGCUUGUUGGUGGGGUAAUGGCCUACCAAGGCGUCGACGGGUAGCCGGCCUGGGAGGGUGUACGGCCGCAUUGGGACUGAGAUACGGCCCAGACUACUACGGGAGGCAGCAGUGGGGAGUAUUGCACAAUGGGCGCAAGCCUGAUGCGGCGACGCCGCGUGGGGGAUGACGGCCUUCGUGUUGUAAACUCCUUUCGUCAGGGACGAAGCGAAAGUGACGGUACCUGGAUAAGAAGCACCGGCUAACUACGUG
RNAcentral lists this ribosomal RNA (466 nucleotides) under uncultured bacterium. RNAcentral describes it as "partial 16S ribosomal RNA". It matches the Rfam family "Bacterial small subunit ribosomal RNA", at positions 28 to 507 of the family's 1533-position model. The record is from RNAcentral.